This 318-nucleotide ribosomal RNA is filed under the name Triticum aestivum (bread wheat). RNAcentral describes it as "partial small subunit ribosomal RNA". The record is from RNAcentral. Lineage: Eukaryota; Viridiplantae; Streptophyta; Magnoliopsida; Poales; Poaceae.
AUGAUCUUCAACGAUGAUGGCACAUACGACUCGAUGAGUGAAGAAGAAAUGGAAGCCCUUGAGCACGUGGCCAUGCACCGGCGCGUGAACGAAGAUGAAGAUGAUCAAGUGUUUUGUGACAACGAUUCAAGUCCCUCUCUCGUGGUCUCCAAGGUCUUGACGCUCCAACACCACCAAGAAGAAGACCAACGGUGCCACAUCUUCCACACCAAGGCCGGCAUCAACGGGCGUUCCGUGAAAGUCAUCAUCGACGGAGGAAGUUGUCACAACUUGGCAAGUGAAGAGCUAUGUUCCAAGCUGCAAUUGGUCAAGAAGAAG